This 1122-nucleotide long non-coding RNA is filed under the name Homo sapiens (human). Its description in RNAcentral is "non-protein coding lnc-CTNND2-1:4". Lineage: Eukaryota; Metazoa; Chordata; Mammalia; Primates; Hominidae. The record is from RNAcentral.
CUCAGAGCGGCCUGCUGGCCCCGCCUGCCCUGGGCAGUGAAGGGCUUAGCACCUGGUCCAGCAGCUGCUGUGCUCGAGUUCUCGCGGGGCCUUAGCUGCCUCCCCGCGGGGCAGGGCUUGGGACCUGCAGCCCGCCAUGCCUGAGCUUCCCCCCGCCCCCGCCGUGGGCUCCUGUGCGGCCCGAGCCUCCCCGACGAGCGCCGCCCCCUGCUCCACGAUGCCCAGUCCCAUCGACCACCCAAGGGCUGAGGAGUGCGGGCUCACGGUUACAGGAUUCCCAUUUCAGAACUACGACCAUUUGAAAAAUAGAAGAUUUAAAGAUUGACGCAAAGUGCAUGUACCAUGAUACACCAGGUCUCAUCUCCUGAAUAUUUGUCCUGCCCUGAGUUUUCACCUGAGGCCACCUGUACAACUGACUAGAGUAGUUCCACUGAUUGCUAAAAUGGAACAGGCAGGAUUGGUAUUGACUGUCCAAGAGCAAAGUCAGAUACAGAGACAAGUCUCACCAUAUUGUCCAAGCUAGUAUUGAACUCCUAGGCUCAAGUGAUCCUCCUGCCUCCGCCUCCCAAAGUGCUGGGAUUACAAGAAUGAGCCACAGUGCCUGGCCGAACUCAUGUCUUCAGUGUAAAAUGAAAUGCACAAAUCUUGACCGUACAUUCAUUGUGUUUUGAAAAAUGUGAACAAAUGCAUAGAAACUUUCCAAACUGAAAUAAAAAGAGAAACUGAAUGUGGGGGACAGAAUACAACAGCCACGUACUGUGGAACAAUUUCAAUAGCUGUAAUAUAUGCAUAGUGGGAACACCAGGAGGAGAAGAAAGAGAAUGGAGUAAAAGAAAUAUUUGAUGUAAUAUUGGCUGAGAAAUUUCCAGAACUAAUGUCAGACUCUAAACAUGGAUCUAGAAAGCUCAAAGAACACCACCAAAGGAAAAAUAAUUACAUUUUGACAUAUCGUAUUCAAACUGUAGCACACCAAAGACAAAGGUCUUAAAAUAACUCAAAGGAGAGAGAGGGAAAACACCAUACUCACAGAGGCAUAUGCCUAAGAAAUUCAGUGGAUCUCCUGUCAGAAACUAUGAAUGCACAAAAAAAGGAUAGUUAAAUAUUUAAAGUGGUAAAAAAAAA